Molecule: non-coding RNA, 29 nt
Filed under: Mus musculus (house mouse)
Lineage: Eukaryota; Metazoa; Chordata; Mammalia; Rodentia; Muridae
Source: RNAcentral
UGUGAGUUGUAACUUGCUUGGAAACCUGA